GUCAGUGUAAACUGAGGAAUUUGUUUCUACGGUGACCAUCAACCUAAAGAAGACAUGCUGUACCAAGGAAUGAGUGAGGACAUAGUUAGAAUUGUAAACAUGGCCACAGAUUGGAUAUGGGAGUCAAAUGCGAAGAGGAGGUCAUAUUCACUCCAAGGACUGCAGACCAGUGGGAGUAGCAGGGUCUGGGAGAGACAGCAGCUGUGGUAUAAGGAGGUGCCCUGGCCACUGGAGAGAGAUUUCUGGAGUCAUCUAGGAGUUUUGCUGAGAACCAAAAGCCCUGGGGAAGAAGAGGUGAGAAGAAGCAAAAAUGAAGCUCCAGCAAGUAGUCUUAAAAGGCUACAGACAUGGAACACUGGUUUUGCUUAUUUAUCUCCAUACAGCAGCUGGUCCUGUCUUAGGCUGGUGGUCUUUCAUGCCACACAGUCAUGCAUAUUUUCACUGUGAAUGUUCAAUAAAUAUUUAAGAAAUAAUAACUGAUCA
This is a long non-coding RNA of Bos indicus x Bos taurus (hybrid cattle), 483 nucleotides long. The record is from Ensembl. NCBI's taxonomy places the organism in Eukaryota, Metazoa, Chordata, Mammalia, Artiodactyla, Bovidae.